RNAcentral lists this non-coding RNA (29 nucleotides) under Homo sapiens (human). Lineage: Eukaryota; Metazoa; Chordata; Mammalia; Primates; Hominidae. The record is from RNAcentral.
UGGAUUAAGGGGUCGCUAUGGUCUAGAGC